RNAcentral lists this ribosomal RNA (253 nucleotides) under uncultured bacterium. RNAcentral's name for it is "partial 16S ribosomal RNA". It matches the Rfam family "Bacterial small subunit ribosomal RNA", at positions 524 to 776 of the family's 1533-position model. The record is from RNAcentral.
UACGUAGGGUGCGAGCGUUAAUCGGAAUUACUGGGCGUAAAGCGUGCGCAGGCGGUUUUGUAAGCCAGAUGUGAAAGCCCCGGGCUCAACCUGGGAAUGGCAUUUGGGACUGCAAGGCUUGAGUGCGGCAGAGGAGACUGGAAUUCCUGGUGUAGCAGUGAAAUGCGUAGAGAUGUGGAGGAACACCGAUGGCGAAGGCAGCCUCCUGGGCCGACACUGACGCUGAUGCACGAAAGCGUGGGGAGCAAACAGG